Molecule: ribosomal RNA, 444 nt
Filed under: uncultured bacterium
Lineage: Bacteria
Description: bacterial SSU rRNA
Rfam family: Bacterial small subunit ribosomal RNA
Source: RNAcentral
GAUGAACGCUAGCGGCAGGCCUAAUACAUGCAAGACGAACGGUAAGUUGAGUAGCAAUACUUAGCCAAGAGUGUCGUACGGGUGCGUAACACGUAUGCAACCUACCCUAUACAGGAGGAUAGCCUAGGGAAACCUGGAUUAACCCUUCAUAGUAUUAUUGGAUGGCAUCAUUUGAUAAUUAAAACUGAGGUGGUAUAGGAUGGGCAUGCGUCUGAUUAGUUAGUUGGCGGGGUAAUGGCCCACCAAGACGAUGAUCAGUAGGGGUUCUGAGAGGAAGAUCCCCCACACUGGCACUGAGAUACGGGCCAGACUCCUACGGGAGGCAGCAGUAGGGAAUAUUGGUCAAUGGAUGCAAGUCUGAACCAGCCAUGCCGCGUGCAGGAAAGAAGGCCUUCUGGGGUUGUAAAACUGCUUUUGCCAGGGGGAUAAAAUUUCCAUGCGUGG